CCCACCUCGGCCCGCUAGCCUAAGUCCCAGCGGCCUAGAUGGCGUCGCUGGGUUAGAGGAAAACGGCCCUGGUCGAGCCGCCCCGCCCUCUCACCUCGGGUUGUGGCUUAGGUUCAGCGCGAUCCAGGGUACGAAGCGGUACUUGUAACGGCGCCAUCGCUGCCAGAGGCCCCGCAGCAGGCGGCCCGGCAUGGCUGUCCUGUGGCGCCGUGACGAGGACGGCACGGGGGAGGCGGGUUUUCUCGGGCCCGCCCCGACCCGAGGAGGAGCAGAGGCCGCGCCGUCCCUCCCCUUCGCGGUCUCAGCACUCAGUGCCGCGCUCGGCGGCCCUGCUACCCCCUGGCCUCCUGUCGCCGUGUCUCCGUGCCUCUGCUUUAUUGACCCCAGCUCGCUGAAACAGAGAGUGAAUUAUAAUGACACACUGUCAAAUGUUGCACCAUCCUUGGAUUCCUGAGAUAACCCUACUCAGUUAAUGACAUUUUCGGGCUUCCCUGGCGGCGCAGUGGUUGAGGAUCUGCCUGCCAAUGCAGGGGACACGGGUUCAAGCCCUGGUCUGGGAAGAUCCCACAUGCCACGGAGCAACUAGGCCUGUGAGCCACAGCUACUGAGCCUGCGCAUCUGGAGCCUGUGCUCCGCAACAAGAGAGGCCGCGACAGUGAGAGGCUCGUGCACUGCGAUGAAGAGUGGCCCCCACUUGCCGCAACAGAGAAAGCCCUCGCACAGAAACGAAGACCCAACACAGCCAAAAAUAAAUAAAUAAAUAAAUAAAUAAUUAAAAAAAAAAAAAGAAUGACAUUUCCUACAUAAUCACAUUACCAUUAUAUCUUUAAAAGUGAACAGUAAUUCAAUAUCAUGAAUAUAGCCCAUAUUUAAGUUUCUCUAAUUUCAAAAAUACCUUUUAUAACUGUUUGUUCUUUUAUUAUUUGUUUUUUAAACUGGGUCAAAGUUAA
Long non-coding RNA from Balaenoptera ricei (Rice's whale), 950 nucleotides. RefSeq lists it as uncharacterized. The record is from RefSeq and is a predicted model, not a curated record. The transcript has 3 exons. NCBI's taxonomy places the organism in Eukaryota, Metazoa, Chordata, Mammalia, Artiodactyla, Balaenopteridae.